UAAAAACUGGUGACAAAGGACUGCAAUAUGGAAGAAAAUAAUUAUUUUCCAGCCAGGAGAUUCUAUUUCAAUAUCAGCUAUAAGAAAAAUAAUUUGUAUUUAAAUUUUGUUUAUAAAGUGUUUCUAUCAUACCUGUGAGCUGUUUUUAUUUAUUUAUUUAUUUAUUUAUUUAUUUAUUUAUUUAUUUAUUUUCAGACGGAGUCUCGCUCUGUUGUCCAGGCUGGAGUGCAGUGGUGCAAUCUCGGCUCACUGCAACCGCCUCCUCACGGGUUCAAGAGAUUCUCCUGCCUCAGCCUCCUGAAUAGCUGGGACUAUAGGUGCCUGCCACCACACCUGGAUUGCCUGGCAAAUUUUUUUUUUUUUUUGUAUAUUUAGUAGAGAUGGGGUUUCAUCAUGUUGGCCAGGCUGGUCUUGAACUUGUGUCCUCAGGUGAUCCACCCACCUCGGCCUCCCAAAGUGCUGAGAUUACAGGCAUGAGCCACUGUGCCUGGCCAACUGUUUUUAAAUUUUAAAAGUUUAAGAUUCAAGGCCUAAUCUUCUGCUUAUGAUAUGUCAUCAGUGGACAUUUCAUGUAUAUAACCAUGUAAUAAUGGAACACAGCAGUGAACGGAUGCAUAGCAGUCUGAACUCUUCCCUGUGUAUUAGCGCUGAGUCACUGCUGGGAUCUGGCAGGGCUCCUCAAAAUCCCUGAGCCUCACUAGGAUCUCCGGCCUGCCUCUUGGUCUUCAAGUACACAGACCAGAAAGUCACUGUUCCUGAGAGGUGAAUAGGGCCAAAUGAUGCAACCCUGAAAAAGCUUUCCUCUAACUUACUUUCCCAAGGCAGAGAGAAUUUCUCUAGAAAUCAGGUCAGCCAUGUUAUUUAGGCAUUUUUAUUGCAUCUUUUCCCCAAGGCCCUGGGACUCUGUGUUGGUAUAUACACAAAGGAUUACACUAUUUUUGUUUAGUAAGAUGGCUUGCUGAUUUCAGUUUACAAGGUGAGAACAUGGAUAUGUAAGUCUGAGUCAUUUGGAAAAACAAAAGACAAUCACUUUUAGAAUAAAGAGAAAUACCUAUUUAGAAUUUUCUCUGUAAAAACAUCACAUUGAUCACAUCUUUCCAUCUUCUGAAAGGCAUUUUAAACCAAAUCUACAGAUUAGAAAAUUUUGAUAGAUAACUUAUCAGAACUAUAUUUUGUGUUGAAACUGACCAAAAUGCUUAAUACAUUUACUUUUAGUCUUUUAAAUAUUCUGACUUGUGUUAAAUAUGUCAGGAAACAAAGAAGUAAGGCAACACUCUCUUGACUUGUGAAGUGUCCAAGCUCUGGGCUGGACGUAGUAGUUCCUCACUAAGCAUUUGUUGAAUCGGUGAAUAAUAUAUCCCCAAACAAGGCCUAAAAAAGGAGCAUAAUGAAAAUAAAGCUGCCACAAUUGGGCCCCUUGAUUUCGUAAAGCACCCAGGCAUCAUCUUGCAUCAAGUACUUUUGCAGACACAAUCUCAAAAUGUCUCAUUCUAAGAAAUGGGCAAAUGAUACUCUCUUUGAUUGAUGGAGAAAAAGAAUCUGAGCCCAAGAUGGCAUAGCAAACUCAGAAUUCUAAUUGCAACUUGCAAGAUCAGAACACCCAAAAAAAAGCCCCUGCACACAGCCAUGCUGCUGCCUCUGCUGACCUAUACAUUGGUUAUAAGUCAACUGAGGGACAAAGUUCAAAAGAGACCACAAAAGUACCAGAAGCUAUGACAAAACACCGAAAUCAAUUGAAGUUAAACCCAGAUCUUCAAAUCAGUAUGUCACAAAGAUGCUCCUUCUAGAUGUUAUUUACAGUUAAUGAGGUCAAAUGAAUUUUUGUAGUCAAUAAAUAAAAUAGUUAAAAUAUUUAUUUUUAUAUUUACCUCAUCUUUUUAAAUUCCUAUUAUUGUGAAUGUUUUAUAAUACAUACAAUUAGCUAUAUGUUUGUGGGAUAUACAAUUUAUAAAUAACUAAAUAUACAUAUAUAAGAAUGGACACUCAUACUGAAAAGAAAUCACUGAGCUAGAAAACUAUUUCAAAGCAGACAUCUAUAAUAAUCCAAGAUGCCUGCCUAGCCCAGAGUUGGCACUCAAUAAAUAUGUGUUGAUGGCUAACACAUUUAUGAAAAACAUGUUCAACAUCACUAAUCAUUAGAGAAAUGCAAAUUAAAACCGCAAUGAGAUAUCAUUUCACACCUGUCAGAAUGGCUAUUAUCAAAAAGACAAAAGAUAGCAAGUGUUGGCAAGGAUGUAGAGAAAAGGAAACCCUUGUACACUGUUGGUGGGAAUGUAAAUUAGUACAGCCAUUAUGGAAAACUGUACGGAUGUUCCUUGAAAAGCUUAAACUAGAAUUACCAUAUGAUCCAGCAAUCUCACUUCUGGGUACUUACCCAAAAGAUUUUAAAUCAGUGUGUCAAAAACACAUCUGCACUCCAAUGUUCAUCACAGCACUAUUCACAAUAAUCAAGUUAUGAAAUCAACCUAAGUGCCCCUCAAGCAAUGAAUGGAUAGAGAAAAUGUGGCAUAUAUACAUAAUGGAAUACUAUUCAGCCUUUAAAACUAAGGGACUUCUAUCACUGGCAACAACAUGGAUGAAUGGUGAACAUUAUGCUGAGUGAAACAAGCCAGACACAGAAAGACAGAUACUGCAUGUUUUCCCUUAUAUGUGGAAUCUAAAACAAUCAAACACGUAGAAGCAGAGAGUAGAAUGGUAGUUAUAGAGGCUGGGGUAUGGGGGAAUGGAGAGAUGUUCAAAAGGUACAAAGUCUUAGUUAGAAAGGAGGAAUAAGUUUUUUUUUUGAGAUCUAUUGCACAGCAUGUUGAAUAUAAUUAAUAAUAAUGUAUUGUACAUUUCAAAAUUUCUAAGAGAGUAAACUGCAAAUGUUCUCUCCACAAAAAAUAAGUAUUGGAGAUAAUGUAUAUGUUAGCUUGAUUUAAGUAUUUCAUAUUGUAUUCAUAAAUUAUAACAUCAAUCUGUAAAUUGUAUCCCAUAAUAUAUUGUAUUAUAUUCAUACCCCACAAACAUAUUUAAAUUGUCAACUUUCAAUAAAAUAAUUUUUUUUUAAAUCUGUGUUGAAUGAAUGAAUGAAACACCUUCCACAGCAGCCACAGCUGUAGAAGAACUGACAAACAGAUUAACAUCACCAGCUUAUGAAUAUUUCUACUCAAGCUUUCAGAAAAAACAUCUGCCAGGCAUCAUGUCUCUGUCCAUCCAAUAAAGGAGACUUCAUUAUAAUCAACUUGCAAUCAUCUAUAUCAAUAUUUAGAAGCAGUGGACAGAGAAUCCCCCCGGUUAAUUCAAUUCAACAAGAAAUUAUUGAGAGAGUCUCAUAUUUGACACUCAAAUGAAGUAAAUUAAUGCAAAAUAAGUUAUCUAUGGUUUCUGAUUUCAAGAAAUUUGUGUUUAGCUUUAGAACAUGUCUUCAGAUUUCCACUUAGAGAUGAGUGCAACCUGAUGUUCAGAGAAUUUGA
This 3455-nucleotide long non-coding RNA is filed under the name Homo sapiens (human). RNAcentral's name for it is "HSALNT0181030". Lineage: Eukaryota; Metazoa; Chordata; Mammalia; Primates; Hominidae. The record is from RNAcentral.